GUGACUGCGUACCUUUUGUAUAAUGGGUCAGCGACUUAUAUUCUGUAGCAAGGUUAACCGUAUAGGGGAGCCGGAGGGAAACCGAGUCUUAAYCGGGCGUUAAGUUGCAGGGUAUAGACCCGAAACCCGGUGAUCUAGCCAUGGGCAGGUUGAAGGUUGGGUAACACUAACUGGAGGACCGAACCGACUAAUGUUGAAAAAUUAGCGGAUGACCUGUGGCUGGGGGUGAAAGGCCAAUCAAACCGGGAGAUAGCUGGUUCUCCCCGAAAGCUAUUUAGGUAGCGCCUCGUGAAUUCAUCUCCGGGGGUAGAGCACUGUUUCGGCUAGGGGGCCAUCCCGGCUUACCAACCCGAUGCAAACUGCGAAUACCGGAGAAUGUUAUCACGGGAGACACACGGCGGGUGCUAACGUCCGUCGUGAAGAGGGAAACAACCCAGACCGCCAGCUAAGGUCCCAAAGUCAUGGUUAAGUGGGAAACGAUGUGGGAAGGCCCAGACAGCCAGGAUGUUGGCUUAGAAGCAGCCAUCAUUUAAAGAAAGCGUAAUAGCUCACUGGUCGAGUCGGCCUGCGCGGAAGAUGUAACGGGGCUAAACCAUGCACCGAAGCUGCGGCAGCGAACGUAUCACCCAAGACAACUUUACGGAGUUGACGAUUGACGGAGCGAAGCGACGUCAAAGCGUUCAUUAAAGUCGAGUUGGCUUAGGGAUACGUUCGUUGGGUAGGGGAGCGUUCUGUAAGCCUGUGAAGGUGUGUCGUGAGGCAUGCUGGAGGUAUCAGAAGUGCGAAUGCUGACAUAAGUAACGAUAAAGCGGGUGAAAAGCCCGCUCGCCGGAAGACCAAGGGUUCCUGUCCAACGUUAAUCGGGGCAGGGUGAGUCGACCCCUAAGGCGAGGCCGAAAGGCGUAGUCGAUGGGAAACGGGUUAAUAUUCCCGUACUUGGUGUUACUGCGAAGGGGGGACGGAGAAGGCUAUGUUGGCCGGGCGACGGUUGUCCCGGUUUAAGCGUGUAGGUGUGUGUUCCAGGUAAAUCCGGUUCACUUUAACACUGAGGCGUGACGACGAGGCACUACGGUGCUGAAGCAACAAAUGCCCUGCUUCCAGGAAAAGCCUCUAAGCAUCAGGUAACAYSAAAUCGUACCCCAAACCGACACAGGUGGUCAGGUAGAGAAUACCAAGGCGCUUGAGAGAACUCGGGUGAAGGAACUAGGCAAAAUGGUGCCGUAACUUCGGGAGAAGGCACGCUGACACGUAGGUGAAGUGAUUUACUCAYGGAGCUGAAGUCAGUCGAAGAUACCAGCUGGCUGCAACUGUUUAUUAAAAACACAGCACUGUGCAAACACGAAAGUGGACGUAUACGGUGUGACGCCUGCCCGGUGCCGGAAGGUUAAUUGAUGGGGUCAGCGCAAGCGAAGCUCCUGAUCGAAGCCCCGGUAAACGGCGGCCGUAACUAUAACGGUCCUAAGGUAGCGAAAUUCCUUGUCGGGUAAGUUCCGACCUGCACGAAUGGCGUAAUGAUGGCCAGGCUGUCUCCACCCGAGACUCAGUGAAAUUGAACUCGCUGUGAAGAUGCAGUGUACCCGCGGCAAGACGGAAAGACCCCGUGAACCUUUACUAUAGCUUGACACUGAACAUUGAGCCUUGAUGUGUAGGAUAGGUGGGAGGCUUUGAAGUGUGGACGCCAGUCUGCAUGGAGCCGACCUUGAAAUACCACCCUUUAAUGUUUGAUGUUCUAACGUGGACCCGUWAYCCGGGUUGCGGACAGUGUCUGGUGGGUAGUUUGACUGGGGCGGUCUCCUCCUAAAGAGUAACGGAGGAGCACGAAGGUUGGCUAAUCCUGGUCGGACAUCAGGAGGUUAGUGCAAUGGCAUAAGCCAGCUUGACUGCGAGCGUGACGGCGCGAGCAGGUGCGAAAGCAGGUCAUAGUGAUCCGGUGGUUCUGAAUGGAAGGGCCAUCGCUCAACGGAUAAAAGGUACUCCGGGGAUAACAGGCUGAUACCGCCCAAGAGUUCAUAUCGACGGCGGUGUUUGGCACCUCGAUGUCGGCUCAUCACAUCCUGGGGCUGAAGUAGGUCCCAAGGGUAUGGCUGUUCGCCAUUUAAAGUGGUACGCGAGCUGGGUUUAGAACGUCGUGAGACAGUUCGGUCCCUAUCUGCCGUGGGCGCUGGAGAACUGAGGGGGGCUGCUCCUAGUACGAGAGGACCGGAGUGGACGCAUCACUGGUGUUCGGGUUGUCAUGCCAAUGGCACUGCCCGGUAGCUAAAUGCGGAAGAGAUAAGUGCUGAAAGCAUCUAAGCACGAAACUUGCCCCGAGAUGAGUUCUCCCUGAGACUUAGAGUCUCCUGAAGGAACGUUGAAGACGACGACGUUGAUAGGCCGGGUGUGUAAGCGCAGCGAUGCGUUGAGCUAACCGGUACUAAUGAACCGUGAGGCUUAACCUU
RNAcentral lists this ribosomal RNA (2438 nucleotides) under Salmonella enterica. RNAcentral's name for it is "partial 23S ribosomal RNA". The record is from RNAcentral. Lineage: Bacteria; Pseudomonadati; Pseudomonadota; Gammaproteobacteria; Enterobacterales; Enterobacteriaceae.